This is a long non-coding RNA of Gossypium raimondii (Peruvian cotton), 341 nucleotides long. RefSeq lists it as uncharacterized. NCBI's taxonomy places the organism in Eukaryota, Viridiplantae, Streptophyta, Magnoliopsida, Malvales, Malvaceae. The record is from RefSeq and is a predicted model, not a curated record. The transcript is spliced from 2 exons.
AAAGAAACAGAGAGCAAAACAAAACAGAGAAGGGAGAAAGAAAGAAACAGAGAGCAAAACGAAACAGAGAAGGAAGGAAGGAAAGAAAGAAAGAAAAAGAAAAAGAGAAAUUUGGGGUUUUAAGGUUCAGAGUUAAUUUGCUAAUGUCGUGUACGAGUCAUUGUCCGAGAAAGGAAAGGAGAAAGUGGACAAGGAGUGACUCGAGAGAAAUUCCGGUUAGUAUUACUAUAAUUCGAAUUUAAUUAUUAAUUGUUAAAAUUUAAAUUAAUAUACAUGAUAAGCAAAUUGAGGUAAGCAUCACGACUGAAUUGAAUGAUAAAUACGUAUUGGUAUUGAAUUUA